GCCGAGUGGCAGCCGUCGGACGUGGACCAGCGCUGCCUGGACAGCAUCGCGGCCACCACGCAAGCCCAGGGCCUGACCAACGUGAAGGCCCCGCUACACCUGGACGUGACGUGGGGCUGGGAGCACUGGGGCGGGAUCCUGCCACAGUCGCUGGACCUGUUGCUCUGCAUCAACAUGGCCCAUGUCAGCCCCCUGCGCUGCACGGAGGUCUGUGGGGAGCCCAGCAUGGGUGUCUGCCGUGGCACCACUCACCCUGCAUGGGGGCAGCUGGGAUGCCAGAUUUGCCCCCAUCACAGUCGGGGGGCUCUUCAGAGCAGCAGGACACCUGCUCAAACCCAGGGCCCUGCUCAUCACCUACGGGGAACCCAGAAUGGGGGCUUCGGGACACAGCCCUCCUGGAGGACCUGGGAAAGGCCAGUGGCCUGCUCCUGGAGAGGAUGGUGGACAUGCCAGCCAACAACAAAUGCCUGAUCUUCCGGAAAAACUAAGCCCCUCCUUCACCCCCGCACACCUGCAUCCCUGCCGGAGGCUCUGUGAGGCACGAACCCUGCCUCCCUAGGCCGGACCUUGUG
RNAcentral lists this long non-coding RNA (572 nucleotides) under Homo sapiens (human). Its description in RNAcentral is "HSALNT0226230". Lineage: Eukaryota; Metazoa; Chordata; Mammalia; Primates; Hominidae. The record is from RNAcentral.